GUUUCUUUCUGUAAAUAAGUUGGGGUGUGUUUCCCUGGUGGUCUUCCUCCCCCACUUCCCCGUAGGCUCUAUCUUGACUCCCUUCCGCUGCUUUCAGCUGGGAAGGACAAAUUCUUGCUUCACCAAACAAAGCAAGUAUAAGGCUAAUAUCAUCCCUGAUGCCAAAUGGACAAAUCUGACAAAAUAGGAACUAAAUCAUAGACAAAUUCUUAGGUUUAAGAUAAUCUCUUCUUUUGACAUAUUCAGAAUAACCCCAAAAUAAGGCUCAUUUUUGUCCAGGUUCAGAAGGCCACAGACCAACUGUGAUCCCUGAAACAGAGUAGUCCAAGUGUGCUGAGAGUCUGAUGUGACCUGGCUACCUUAUAAGAUAUAGCUAGCCGGUCCCUCCACAAGACAGCAAACAAGGCAUAAUAUGGUAUUUUAUUUCUCUGGGGCCAUGGACUCCAUUUUCAAACUCUUAAAAGAUUAAGCAAUAUUGGAAUGUUUAAAGAAAUGAAUAAAAAUCCCUAGCAAAAUUUCUUUGUCUUUAACAAAAAUUCAAAUGGUAUUCAGAAAAAAUGAAAAGUAAACAUAAUAUCCAAUAUUGGAUGACACAGGUAAACAGCAUACAUUGCGGAAGAAGAAUUUGUGUGUGUAAAAAACAUUAUAAUGAUCAUGCCUGUUUCCCCAGGAAUUAUGAGACUCUAACUCAGGGAUCUGCAAAUUAUGGUCCUUGGACCAAAUCCAACCUGUGGACUAUUUUUGUAUGGCCAGCCAGGAAGGACACUUAUAGCAGGGAGGUGACACCAGGGUCAUACCGUCUAGCCCAGGAUACUAUUUUCUCCCCUCUUGAGGAAGCUUCUCCAUUUCCUGGAAGCCUGCAGCACCCCUUCUUCCACAUUCUGCAGAGCA
This 891-nucleotide long non-coding RNA is filed under the name Homo sapiens (human). RNAcentral describes it as "HSALNT0047915". The record is from RNAcentral. Lineage: Eukaryota; Metazoa; Chordata; Mammalia; Primates; Hominidae.